Molecule: ribosomal RNA, 902 nt
Filed under: Bacillus sp. (in: firmicutes)
Lineage: Bacteria; Bacillati; Bacillota; Bacilli; Caryophanales; Bacillaceae
Description: bacterial SSU rRNA
Rfam family: Bacterial small subunit ribosomal RNA
Source: RNAcentral
UAAGAUUCUUUUUCAGUUUUACUCUGAUCAGGAUGAACGCUGGCGGUGCACCUAAUACAUGCAAGUCGAGCGAAUGGAUUAAGAGCUCGCUCGUAUGAAGUUAACGGCGGACGGGUGAGUAACCCGUGGGUAACCUGCCCAUUAGGAUGGGAUAACUCCGGGAAACCGGGGGUAAUUCCGGAUUACCUUUUGAACCGCAUGGUUUGAAAUUGAAAGGCGGCUUCGGCUGUCACUUAUGGAUGGACCCGCGUCGCCUUAGCUAGUUGGUGAGGUAACGGCUCCCCAAGGCAACGAUGCGUAGCCGGCCUGAGAGGGUGAUCGGCCCCCAUGGGGCUGAGACCCGGCCCAAACUCCUUCGGGAGGCAGCCGUUGGGAAUUUUUCGCCAUGGGCGAAAGUUUGGCGGAGCCACCCCGCGUGAGUGAAGAAGGCUUUUGGGUUGUAAAACUUUGUUGUUAGGGAAGAACCAGUGAUAGUUGAAUAAGCUGGCCCCUUGACGGUACCUAACCAGAAAGCCACGGCUAACUACGUGCCAGCAGCCGCGGUAAUACGUAGGUGGCAAGCGUUAUCCGGAAUUAUUGGGCGUAAAGCGCGCGCAGGUGGUUUCUUAAGUCUGAUGUGAAAGCCCACGGCUCAACCGUGGAGGGUCAUUGGAAACUGGGAGACUUGAGUGCAGAAGAGGAAAGUGGAAUUCCAUGUGUAGCGGUGAAAUGCGUAGAGAUAUGGAGGAACACCAGUGGCGAAGGCGACUUUCUGGUCUGUAACUGACACUGAGGCUCGAAAGCGUGGGGAGCAAACAGGAUUAGAUACCCUGGUAGUCCACGCCGUAAACGAUGAGUGCUAAGUGUUAGAGGGUUUCCGCCCUUUAGUGCUGCAAGUUAACGCAUUAAGCACUCCGCGUGGG